RNAcentral lists this ribosomal RNA (641 nucleotides) under uncultured bacterium. RNAcentral's name for it is "bacterial SSU rRNA". It matches the Rfam family "Bacterial small subunit ribosomal RNA", at positions 28 to 681 of the family's 1533-position model. The record is from RNAcentral.
GACGGACGCUGGCGGCGUGCUUAACACAUGCAAGUCGAACGAUGAAGCCCAGCUUGCUGGGUGGAAGAGUGGCGAACGGGUGAGUAACACGUGAGUAACCUGCCCUGAACUCUGGGAUAAGCACUGGAAACGGUGUCUAAUACUGGAUACGACCUAUCACCGCAUGGUGUGUGGGUGGAAAGAUUUAUCGGUUUUGGAUGGACUCGCGGCCUAUCAGCUAGAUGGUGAGGUAAUGGCUCACCAUGGCGACGACGGGUAGCCGGCCUGAGAGGGUGACCGGCCACACUGGGACUGAGACACGGCCCAGACUCCUACGGGAGGCUGCAGUGGGGAAUAUUGCACAAUGGGCGCAAGCCUGAUGCAGCAACGCCGCGUGAGGGAUGACGGCCUUCGGGUUGUAAACCUCUUUUAGUAGGGAAGAAGCGAAAGUGACGGUACCUGCAGAAAAAGCACCGGCUAACUACGUGCCAGCAGCCGCGGUAAUACGUAGGGUACAAGCGUUGUCCGGAAUUAUUGGGCGUAAAGAGCUCGUAGGCGGCUUGUCGCGUCUGCUGUGAAAUCCCGGGGCUCAACCCCGGGCCUGCAGUGGGUACGGGCAAGCUAGAGUGCGGUAGGGGAGAUUGGAAUUCCUGGUGUAGCGG